Molecule: non-coding RNA, 72 nt
Organism: Parelaphostrongylus tenuis
Lineage: Eukaryota; Metazoa; Nematoda; Chromadorea; Rhabditida; Metastrongylidae
Source: the annotation of a GenBank genome assembly
GCGUCGGUGGUGCAACGGUUAGCAUGCGCUCCCGGAAAGAGUGAGACCUGGGUUCGGAUCCCGGCUGACGCU